RNAcentral lists this unclassified non-coding RNA (208 nucleotides) under Hevea brasiliensis (rubber tree). The record is from RNAcentral. Lineage: Eukaryota; Viridiplantae; Streptophyta; Magnoliopsida; Malpighiales; Euphorbiaceae.
GCGAGAGCUUAAAAAUUAUGCAAGAAACAGGUAAUAAGAGGAAGCAGAUAGACCAAGUCGUUCAAUACUUGGAGGAGAGACUAAGGGAGUUGGAUGAAGAAAAGGAAGAACUGAGAAAAUAUCAGCAGCUUGACAAACAACGAAGGUCGCUAGAGUAUAGCAUAUUUGACAAAGAACUAAAUGAUGCUAGGCAAAAAUUAGGAGAGAU